AUUGAACGCUGGCGGCAUGCCUUACACAUGCAAGUCGAACGGUAACGGGCCUUCGGGUGCCGGCGAGUGGCGAACGGGUGAGUAAUACAUCGGAACGUGCCCGAUCGUGGGGGAUAACGAGGCGAAAGCUUUGCUAAUACCGCAUACGAUCUACGGAUGAAAGCAGGGGACCGCAAGGCCUUGCGCGGACGGAGCGGCCGAUGGCAGAUUAGGUAGUUGGUGGGAUAAAAGCUUACCAAGCCGACGAUCUGUAGCUGGUCUGAGAGGAUGAUCAGCCACACUGGGACUGAGACACGGCCCAGACUCCUACGGGAGGCAGCAGUGGGGAAUUUUGGACAAUGGGCGCAAGCCUGAUCCAGCCAUGCCGCGUGCAGGAUGAAGGCCUUCGGGUUGUAAACUGCUUUUGUACGGAACGAAAAGCCUUCUUUUAAUACAGGAGGGUCAUGACGGUACCGUAAGAAUAAGCACCGGCUAACUACGUG
Molecule: ribosomal RNA, 482 nt
Filed under: uncultured bacterium
Lineage: Bacteria
Description: partial 16S ribosomal RNA
Rfam family: Bacterial small subunit ribosomal RNA
Source: RNAcentral